AUUGAACGCUGGCGGCAUGCUUUACACAUGCAAGUCGAACGGCGGCGCGGGCUUCGGCCUGGCGGCGAGUGGCGAACGGGUGAGUAAUGCAUCGGAACGUGCCCAGUAGUGGGGGAUAGCCCGGCGAAAGCCGGAUUAAUACCGCAUACGACCUGCGGGUGAAAGCGGGGGGCCGAAAGGCCUCGCGCUAUUGGGGCGGCCGAUGUCGGAUUCGCUAGGUGGUGGGGGAAAGGCUUACCCAGGCGACGAUCCGUAGCUGGUCUGAGAGGACGACCAGCCACACUGGGACUGAGACACGGCCCAGACGCCUACGGGAGGCAGCAGUGGGGAAUUUUGGACAAUGGGGGCAACCCUGAUCCAGCCAUGCCGCGUGCGGGAAGAAGGCCUUCGGGUUGUAAACCGCUUUUGUUCGGGAAGAAAUCCUCUGGGCUAAUACCCCGGGGGGAUGACGGUACCGGAAGAAUAAGCACCGGCUAACUACGUG
Molecule: ribosomal RNA, 484 nt
Filed under: uncultured bacterium
Lineage: Bacteria
Description: partial 16S ribosomal RNA
Rfam family: Bacterial small subunit ribosomal RNA
Source: RNAcentral